CUGGCUCAGGAUGAACGCUGGCGGCGUGCCUAAUACAUGCAAGUCGAACGGAAACCUUCGGGUUUUAGUGGCGAACGGGUGAGUAACACGUAAGCAACCUACCCUAAAGACGAGGAUAACCAUUGGAAACAGUGGCUAAGACUGGAUAGGAAGAAAUAAGGCAUCUUUUUUCUUUUAAAAGACCUAGUGAUAGGUAUACUUUAGGAGGGGCUUGCGCCAUAUUAGUUAGUUGGUAGGGUAAUGGCCUACCAAGACGAUGAUGUGUAGCUGGACUGAGAGGUUGAACAGCCACAUUGGGACUGAGACACGGCCCAAACUCCUACGGGAGGCAGCAGUAGGGAAUUUUCGGCAAUGGAGGAAACUCUGACCGAGCAACGCCGGCGUGAACGACGAAGUACUUUGGUAUGUAAAGUUCUUUUAUCAAGGAAGAAAAGCAAGUGGUGAACCAUUUGUUUGCCGGUACUUGAUGAAUUAGCCCCGGCUAAUUAUGUGCCAGCAGCCGCGGUAAGACAUAAGGGGCAAGGGUUAUCCGGAAUUAUUGGGCGUAAAGGGUGCGUAGGCGGUCUAGUAAGUCAGUGGUGUAAUGGCAACGCUCAACGUUGUCCGGCUAUUGAAACUGCUAAACUUGAGUUAGAUAGAGGCGAGUGGAAUUCCAUGUGUAGCGUAAAAUGCGUAAAUAUAUGGAGGAACACCAGAGGCGUAGGCGGCUCGCUGGUCUUAACUGACGCUGAGGCACGAAAGCGUGGGGAGCAAACAGGAUUAGAUACCCUGGUAGUCCACGCCGUAAACGAUGAGUACUAAGUGUCGGGUUAAACCGGUACUGAAGUUAACACAUUAAGUACUCCGCCUGAGUAGUACGUACGCAAGUAUGAAACUUAAAGGAAUUGACGGGACUCGCACAAGCGGUGGAUCAUGUUGUUUAAUUCGAAGAUACCCGAAAAACCUUACCAGGUCUUGACAUGUUUUUGCGAAACGGUAGUAAUAUCGUGGAGGUUAUCAGAAACACAGGUGGUGCAUGGUUGUCGUCAGCUCGUGUCGUGAGAUGUUAGGUUAAGUCCUAAAACGAGGCGAAACCCUUAUCGUUAGUUGCCAGCACGUUUGGUGGGGACUUUAACGAGACUGCCAGUGAUAAAUUGGAGGAAGGUGAGGAUCACGUCAAAUCAGCAUGCCCCUUAUGACCUGGGCUACAAACGUGAUACAAUGGCUGUUACAAAGGGUAGCUGAAACGCAAGUCCUUGGCCAAUCCCCAAAAACAGUCUCAGUCCGGAUUGAAGUCUGCAACUCGACUUCAUGAAGUUGGAAUCGCUAGUAACGCGAAUCAGCAUGUCGCGGUGAAUACGUUCUCGGGGUUUGUACACACCGCCCGUCAAACCACGAAAGUUGGCAAUACCCCAAAACGGUAGCCUAACUCGUUUAUCGAGAGGGCACUGUCUAAGGUAGGGUCGAUGAUUGGGGUUAAGUCGUAACAAGGUAUCCCUACCGGAAGGUGGGGAUGGAUCACCUCCUUUCUAAGGAAACCAAUAAAAUCAAUCAUCUUCAGUUUUGAAAGACUUAGGAUAACUAGUUUUUCUUCGUGACUUCACGAAGGGCCUAUAGCUCAGUUGGUUAGAGCACACGCCUGAUAAGCGUGAGGUCGGUGGUUCAAGUCCAUUUAGGCCCACCAGAGUUAUAGGUGUCGUAAGAACACAAAUUCUUUGAAAAUUAGG
Molecule: ribosomal RNA, 1706 nt
Filed under: Candidatus Phytoplasma citri
Lineage: Bacteria; Bacillati; Mycoplasmatota; Mollicutes; Acholeplasmatales; Acholeplasmataceae
Description: bacterial SSU rRNA
Rfam family: Bacterial small subunit ribosomal RNA (bases 1-1508)
Source: RNAcentral